RNAcentral lists this ribosomal RNA (253 nucleotides) under uncultured bacterium. RNAcentral's name for it is "partial 16S ribosomal RNA". It matches the Rfam family "Bacterial small subunit ribosomal RNA", at positions 524 to 776 of the family's 1533-position model. The record is from RNAcentral.
UACGUAGGGGGCGAGCGUUGUCCGGAAUCAUUGGGCGUAAAGCGCGUGUAGGCGGCCCGGUAAGUCCGCUGUGAAAGUCCAGGGCUCAACCCUGGGAUGCCGGUGGAUACUGUCGGGCUCGAGUCCGGAAGAGGCGAGUGGAAUUCCUGGUGUAGCGGUGAAAUGUGUAGAGAUCAGGAGGAACACCUGUGGUGUAGACAGCUUACUGGACGAUAACUGACGCUGAGGCACGAAAGCGUGGGUAGCAAACAGG